RNAcentral lists this unclassified non-coding RNA (626 nucleotides) under Hevea brasiliensis (rubber tree). The record is from RNAcentral. Lineage: Eukaryota; Viridiplantae; Streptophyta; Magnoliopsida; Malpighiales; Euphorbiaceae.
AAAGAGAAUUGGUAUGUACAUUAAAGAAAAUGAUCUCCAAUUUUCUUAAAAAAAUAUAUGAAAAAUAAAAAAUGGAUGCAGAAGACAGACUCGAUUUGUACAAAAUGAAAAAUACUCAAACAUCCAAUUUAUUCAUCGACUGAUGAUGGUGAUGGUAAUGGUGAUGAUGAGGGUGCCGCCGAUGCCUUGCAAAUGGGGCACCAGUUCUUCAGCCUCAACCAUUGAUGUAUGCAGGCCACAUGAUAUCUCCUAUGCUCGCAUUGCAAUCUCCCCACUUCAUCUCCAACAGCAUAAUCUUCCUGGCAGAUACUGCAUUUGACAUCAGCCUUUUCACCACAAAGGUCCAUAGUAGCAUCCUCCAGAUAUGCCGACUGAUAGAUGCUAGUCUUAAGGCAUUCUGACAAUGCUUCCUCUGUUAGUGCUGUGCUCACAGAGCCCAUCCUUUCUUCCAGAGCUAAUAAUUCCUCAUAUGACAUAUUAUCAAUAUCCAAUCUCAUGUCUCUAUGCUGAUCAUAGAAAUUCAGCCCAUUAAGGAACAAAGUAGUCUCCAUAACAAGCAAUUGCUCAUAUGUCAGCUCUUCAUCUUGUUCAAUCCUUUCAAGUGCCAAUAACACCUCAGCAAUUCC